CUUUGGUGCCUUAAAUCCUAGGAGAAGGACUUUGUACUUAAACCGAAAGAAAACAGGGAAGUGUUCCAUUAUCUGGAGCAGGUAGGUCACUGUCUUGAUGAACAUAGUGUGCCUUAAGAAUGCAGCAGGUCGUUGCAGACCGCCGGAUGGGAAUGCGGCAGAACCAGUUAGGAAGUCACUGCAGUGACCCUGCGCUGGAGGGAAGAAGAGCAAGAUGGUUGCGGCAGCAUGGAGAGGGGAAGAACUACAUCUACUAGCUAUGGCAAAAGAAAUGAUAAUGAGAACUGAGAUUUGCCGAGUUUCCACGACUGGCUAGGCUGUGCCAACACCACCAAGAGCUGGACCUAGAAAUUCUGCUUUGGACUCCAGGGUCCUGCACAUAAGAAAUGUAGAUACAACUGACUUUGGGUCCUGUGGUAAGGGAAUCACUUCCACUAAUACUGCCUUUCUGGAGCUCUGCCCUAAAAUAUGUUAUACCAAAGGGCCCUGAGGGUACUUUGCUGGAGAUGUUAUUUGAUUCAAAUCAAUUCAAUUCAAAAUCAUAUACUGAGUGCCUACUACUUAUCAGCACUGGGGUAGGAGUGGGAGAUCAGCCAAAGAUGAAAACAACCCAGACCUUGAAGCUGAUUAUCAUUUAGGAGUCUUAAAUCUUCCUGAAGUUUGUUCUGAUCCAGACUCUUGUCUUUUUAAAAUCUUUAACGGGUAUCUUUUGCUUUCAGAUUUUUUUUUCAUCUCAAUACUAAAUUUAACUGGACACUAUGCUAAGAAUUGAUGAUACCAUUUCAAAAAGUUACAUUGCUGAUUGCAGCCGUUGUUGAUAGCAUCUGAGUCACCAACACAACAAGCUUGUAUCAGUCCAAAUUGCAACUGUAACAUUUAUAGUUUUGCUAUGUAUAGUUGCAAGCAUCUGACUACUGCUUCAUAACUUCUGGUAUAGCUAUGCAUAAGCAAUUACAUACUGAAAUACAUAUUAUUUUAUUAUAAAUAA
Canis lupus familiaris (dog) is the source of this 988-nucleotide long non-coding RNA. RefSeq lists it as uncharacterized. Lineage: Eukaryota; Metazoa; Chordata; Mammalia; Carnivora; Canidae. The transcript is spliced from 2 exons. The record is from RefSeq and is a predicted model, not a curated record.